RNAcentral lists this ribosomal RNA (467 nucleotides) under uncultured bacterium. RNAcentral's name for it is "partial 16S ribosomal RNA". It matches the Rfam family "Bacterial small subunit ribosomal RNA", at positions 28 to 507 of the family's 1533-position model. The record is from RNAcentral.
GACGAACGCUGGCGGCGUGCUUAACACAUGCAAGUCGUACGGAAAGGCCUCUUUCGGGGGGUACUCGAGUGGCGAACGGGUGAGUAACACGUGAGUAACCUGCCCUUGACUUUGGGAUAACUUCAGGAAACUGGGGCUAAUACCGGACAGGAGCUCCUGCUGCAUGGUGGGGGUUGGAAAGUUUCGGCGGUUGGGGAUGGACUCGCGGCUUAUCAGCUUGUUGGUGGGGUAGUGGCUUACCAAGGCUUUGACGGGUAGCCGGCCUGAGAGGGUGACCGGCCACAUUGGGACUGAGAGACGGCCCAGACUCCUACGGGAGGCAGCAGUGGGGAAUAUUGCACAAUGGGUGGAAGCCUGAUGCAGCAACGCCGUGUGCGGGAUGACGGCCUUCGGGUUGUAAACCGCUUUCGCUCAUGACGAAGCUUUGUGUGACGGUAGUGGGUAAAGAAGCACCGGCUAACUACGUG